GCCGAAGUAGCUCAGCUGGUCUAGAGCGCCACUUUUGUAAAGUGGAUGUCGUGGAUUCGAAUUCCACCUUCGGCUCCA
RNAcentral lists this transfer RNA (78 nucleotides) under Candidatus Daviesbacteria bacterium. RNAcentral describes it as "tRNA-Thr". It matches the Rfam family "tRNA". From Rfam's summary of the family: Transfer RNA (tRNA) molecules are approximately 80 nucleotides in length. Their secondary structure includes four short double-helical elements and three loops (D, anti-codon, and T loops). The record is from RNAcentral. Lineage: Bacteria; Candidatus Daviesiibacteriota.